AGCUUUGCACAGCAGCAGUCUCCUGGCCAAUGAGGUUUGUCCAAGGAGCGUUUAUUGCUAAUUGAAAACUUUUCCCAAUACCCUGUCCUGCAGCAUAGUCAGCAUUAGCGAUUUCUGAUAGCGUCUAUGGAGACA
Molecule: non-coding RNA, 135 nt
Organism: Otolemur garnettii (small-eared galago)
Lineage: Eukaryota; Metazoa; Chordata; Mammalia; Primates; Galagidae
Source: Rfam